This 468-nucleotide ribosomal RNA is filed under the name uncultured bacterium. Its description in RNAcentral is "partial 16S ribosomal RNA". It matches the Rfam family "Bacterial small subunit ribosomal RNA", at positions 28 to 507 of the family's 1533-position model. The record is from RNAcentral.
GACGAACGCUGGCGGCGUGCUUAACACAUGCAAGUCGAACGGAAAGGCCCUGCUUUUGUGGGGUGCUCGAGUGGCGAACGGGUGAGUAACACGUGAGUAACCUGCCCUUGACUUUGGGAUAACUUCAGGAAACUGGGGCUAAUACCGGAUAGGAGCUCCUGCUGCAUGGUGGGGGUUGGAAAGUUUCGGCGGUUGGGGAUGGACUCGCGGCUUAUCAGCUUGUUGGUGGGGUAGUGGCUUACCAAGGCUUUGACGGGUAGCCGGCCUGAGAGGGUGACCGGCCACAUUGGGACUGAGGUACGGCGCAGACUCGUACGGGAGGCAGCAGUGGGGAAUAUUGCACAAUGGGCGGAAGCCUGAUGCAGCAGCGCCGCGUGCGGGAUGACGGCCUUCGGGUUGUAAACCGCUUUCGCCUGUGACGAAGCGUGAGUGACGGUAAUGGGUAAAGAAGCACCGGCUAACUACGUG